CUAGUACUCAGAUGGGUGACCACUGUGGAAUCCUCAGUGUUGUGUGUUUUU
This 51-nucleotide ribosomal RNA is filed under the name Podospora comata. RNAcentral also lists the same sequence under 1 other name. Lineage: Eukaryota; Fungi; Ascomycota; Sordariomycetes; Sordariales; Podosporaceae. The record is from RNAcentral.